Molecule: ribosomal RNA, 415 nt
Filed under: uncultured prokaryote
Description: bacterial SSU rRNA
Rfam family: Bacterial small subunit ribosomal RNA
Source: RNAcentral
GUGUCAGCCGCCGCGGUAACACGGGGGGAGCAAGCGUUGUCCGGAUUUACUGGGCGUGAAGCGCGCGUAGGCGGUCCACUAAGUCGGCUGUGAAAGCGCUGGGCUCAACCCAGCAAGGUCAGUCGAUACUGGUGGACUCGAGUCCGGGAGAGGGAAGCGGAAUUGCUGGUGUAGCGGUGGAAUGCGUAGAUAUCAGCAAGAACACCGGUGGCGAAGGCGGCUUCCUGGACCGGCACUGACGCUGAGGCGCGAAAGCUAGGGGAGCGAACCGGAUUAGAUACCCGGGUAGUCCUAGCUGUAAACGAUGGUCACUAGGUGUUGGGGGUAUCGACCCCCCCAGUGCCGCAGCUAACGCAUUAAGUGACCCGCCUGGGGAGUACGGCCGCAAGGCUGAAACUUAAAUGAAUUGACGGGG